CCAUGGGACGAACUAAGCCAUGCGAGUCAUUGUAGCAAUACAAGGCAGACGGCUCAGUAACGCGUAGUCAACCUAACCUAUGGACGGGAAUAAUCUCGGGAAACUGAGAAUAAUGCCCGAUAGAACACUAUAUCUGGAAUGGUUUAUGUUCCAAAUGAUUUAUCGCCAUAGGAUGGGACUGCGGCCUAUCAGUUUGUUGGUGAGGUAAUGGCCCACCAAGACUAUUACAGGUACGGGCUCUGAGAGGAGUAGCCCGGAGAUGGGUACUGAGACACGGACCCAGGCCCUGUGGGGCGCAGCAGGCGAGAAAACUUUGCAAUGUGCGAAAGCACGACAAGGUUAAUCCGAGUGGUUCCUGCUAAAGGAACCUUAUGUCGGUCCUAGAAACACCGAUGAAUAAGGGGUGGGCAAGUUCUGGUGUCAGCCGCCGCGGUAAAACCAGCACCUCAAGUGGUCAGGAUGAUUAUUGGGCCUAAAGCAUCCGUAGCCCGCUCUGUAAGUUUUCGGUUAAAUCUGUACGCUCAACGUACAGGCUGCCGGGAAUACUGCAUAACUAGGAAGUGGGAGAGGUAGACGGUACUCGGUAGGAAGGGGUAAAAUCCUUUGAUCUAUUGAUGACCACCUGUGGCGAAGGCGGUCUACCAGAACACGUCCGACGGUGAGGGAUGAAAGCUGGGGGAGCAAACCGGAUUAGAUACCCGGGUAGUCCCAGCUGUAAACUAUGCAAGCUCAGUGAUGCAUUGGCUUGUGGCCAAUGCAGUGCUGCAGGGAAGCCGUUAAGUUUGCCGCCUGGGAAGUACGUACGCAAGUAUGAAACUUAAAGGGAUUGGCGGGGGAGCACCACAAGGGGUGAAGCCUGCGGUUCAAUUGGAGUCAACGCCGGG
RNAcentral lists this ribosomal RNA (884 nucleotides) under uncultured archaeon. Its description in RNAcentral is "bacterial SSU rRNA". It matches the Rfam family "Archaeal small subunit ribosomal RNA", at positions 30 to 922 of the family's 1478-position model. The record is from RNAcentral.